RNAcentral lists this ribosomal RNA (487 nucleotides) under uncultured bacterium. RNAcentral's name for it is "partial 16S ribosomal RNA". It matches the Rfam family "Bacterial small subunit ribosomal RNA", at positions 30 to 507 of the family's 1533-position model. The record is from RNAcentral.
CGAACGCUGGCGGCGUGCUUAACACAUGCAAGUCGAACGGAAAGGCCCCCACCUUGGUGGGGGUGCUCGAGUGGCGAACGGGUGAGUAACACGUGGGUGAUCUGCCCUGUACUUCGGGAUAAGCUUGGGAAACUGGGUCUAAUACCGGAUAGGACCAUGGUUUAGUGUCUCAUGGUGGAAAAAUUAUUGUUUUGGUGCAGGAUGAGCUCGCGGCCUAUCAGCUUGUUGGUGGGGUAAUGGCCUACCAAGGCGUCGACGGGUAGCCGGCCUGAGAGGGUGGACGGCCACAUUGGGACUGAGAUACGGCCCAGACUCCUACGGGAGGCAGCAGUGGGGAAUAUUGCACAAUGGGCGCAAGCCUGAUGCAGCGACGCCGCGUGGGGGAUGACGGCCUUCGGGUUGUAAACUCCUUUCGUUAGGGACGAAGCCACACCUUUUUUGGGUGUGGUGACGGUACCUUUGUUAAGAAGCACCGGCUAACUACGUG